Molecule: unclassified non-coding RNA, 306 nt
Filed under: plant metagenome
Description: partial contains 5.8S ribosomal RNA, internal transcribed spacer 2, and large subunit ribosomal RNA
Rfam family: 5.8S ribosomal RNA (bases 1-105)
Source: RNAcentral
GAAAUGCGAUAAGUAAUGUGAAUUGCAGAAUUCAGUGAAUCAUCGAAUCUUUGAACGCACAUUGCGCCCGCCAGUAUUCUGGCGGGCAUGCCUGUCCGAGCGUCAUUUCAACCAUCAAGCCCCCGGGCUUGUGUUGGGGACCUGCGGCUGCCCGCAGGCCAUGAAAACCAGUGGCGGGCUCGCUGUCACACCGAGCGUAGUAGCAAUCACCUCGCUCAGGGCGUGCUGCGGGUUCCGGCCGUUAAACAGCCUUACAAAACCCAAGGUUGACCUCGGAUCAGGUAGGAAGACCCGCUGAACUUAAGC